RNAcentral lists this ribosomal RNA (468 nucleotides) under uncultured Desulfobulbus sp. RNAcentral describes it as "bacterial SSU rRNA". It matches the Rfam family "Bacterial small subunit ribosomal RNA", at positions 916 to 1381 of the family's 1533-position model. The record is from RNAcentral. Lineage: Bacteria; Pseudomonadati; Thermodesulfobacteriota; Desulfobulbia; Desulfobulbales; Desulfobulbaceae.
GACGGGGCCCGCACAAGCGGUGGAGCAUGUGGUUUAAUUCGAUGCAACGCGAAGAACCUUACCUGGUCUUGACAUCCACGGAAGUUUUCAGAGAUGAGAAUGUGCCUUCGGGAACCGUGAGACAGGUGCUGCAUGGCUGUCGUCAGCUCGUGUCGUGAGAUGUUGGGUUAAGUCCCGCAACGAGCGCAACCCUCGCCUUUAGUUGCCAGCAUUCAGUUGGGCACUCUAAAGGGACUGCCGGUGUCAAACCGGAGGAAGGCGGGGAUGACGUCAAGUCCUCAUGGCCUUUAUGUCCAGGGCUACACACGUACUACAAUGGCCGGUACAAAGGGCGGCGAGUCAGCGAUGACGAGCAAAUCCCGUAAAGCCGGUCUCAGUCCGGAUUGGAGUCUGCAACUCGGCUCCAUGAAGUUGGAAUCGCUAGUAAUCGUGGAUCAGAAUGCCACGGUGAAUACGUUCCCGGGCCUU